This 75-nucleotide transfer RNA is filed under the name Staphylothermus hellenicus DSM 12710. Its description in RNAcentral is "tRNA-Arg (CCG) (tRNA-Arg-CCG-1-1)". It matches the Rfam family "tRNA". Rfam says of the family: Transfer RNA (tRNA) molecules are approximately 80 nucleotides in length. Their secondary structure includes four short double-helical elements and three loops (D, anti-codon, and T loops). The record is from RNAcentral. Lineage: Archaea; Thermoproteati; Thermoproteota; Thermoprotei; Desulfurococcales; Desulfurococcaceae.
GGGCCCGUAGCCUAGCCUGGAUAGGGCGCCGGCCUCCGGAGCCGGAGAUCCCGGGUUCAAAUCCCGGCGGGCCCG